Molecule: non-coding RNA, 76 nt
Filed under: Escherichia albertii
Lineage: Bacteria; Pseudomonadati; Pseudomonadota; Gammaproteobacteria; Enterobacterales; Enterobacteriaceae
Description: Nucleoid-associated noncoding RNA 4 (CssrE)
Rfam family: Nucleoid-associated noncoding RNA 4 (CssrE)
About the family: In E. coli small RNA transcribed from repeated extragenic palindromic element (REP325) called nucleoid-associated ncRNA 4 (nRNA4) collaborates HU protein in condensing the DNA. The secondary structure but not the sequence of the RNA is important in nucleoid condensation.
Source: RNAcentral
GACGGAUAAGGCGUUUACGCCGCAUCCGGCUACGAUUCCAAUGCCUGAUGCGACGCUUGCCGCGUCUUAUCAGGCC